GAGCGGAUGAAGGGAGCUUGCUCCCUGAUUCAGCGGCGGACGGGUGAGUAAUGCCUAGGAAUCUGCCUGGUAGUGGGGGACAACGUUUCGAAAGGAACGCUAAUACCGCAUACGUCCUACGGGAGAAAGCAGGGGACCUUCGGGCCUUGCGCUAUCAGAUGAGCCUAGGUCGGAUUAGCUAGUUGGUGAGGUAAUGGCUCACCAAGGCGACGAUCCGUAACUGGUCUGAGAGGAUGAUCAGUCACACUGGAACUGAGACACGGUCCAGACUCCUACGGGAGGCAGCAGUGGGGAAUAUUGGACAAUGGGCGAAAGCCUGAUCCAGCCAUGCUGCGUGUGUGAAGAAGGUCUUCGGAUUGUAAAGCACUUUAAGUUGGGAGGAAGGGUUGCUGAUUAAUACUCUGCAAUUUUGACGUUACCGACAGAAUAAGCACCGGCUAACUCUGUG
This 448-nucleotide ribosomal RNA is filed under the name uncultured bacterium. RNAcentral's name for it is "bacterial SSU rRNA". It matches the Rfam family "Bacterial small subunit ribosomal RNA", at positions 64 to 507 of the family's 1533-position model. The record is from RNAcentral.